AACGCACGAGACCUGCGGACCUGCGGAGGGAUCAUUACCGAGUGAGGACCUACCGGUCCAACCUCCCACCCGUGUCUAUCGUACCUUGUUGCUUCGGCGGGCCCGCCAUUCGUGGCCGCCGGGGGGCAUCUCGCCCCCGGGCCCGCGCCCGCCGGAGACACCAACACGAACACUGUCUGAAGGUUGCAGUCUGAGUCGAUUUAUUUAAUCGUUAAAACUUUUAGCAAUGGAUCUCUAGAU
Molecule: unclassified non-coding RNA, 240 nt
Filed under: soil metagenome
Description: partial contains 5.8S ribosomal RNA, internal transcribed spacer 2, and large subunit ribosomal RNA
Source: RNAcentral